RNAcentral lists this non-coding RNA (675 nucleotides) under Taphrina deformans PYCC 5710. RNAcentral's name for it is "Bacterial small subunit ribosomal RNA". It matches the Rfam family "Bacterial small subunit ribosomal RNA", at positions 874 to 1520 of the family's 1533-position model. Lineage: Eukaryota; Fungi; Ascomycota; Taphrinomycetes; Taphrinales; Taphrinaceae. The record is from Rfam by way of RNAcentral.
UGGGGAGUACUGUCGCAAGGCUGAAACCCAAAACAUUAGACGGUCACGGAAACCAGCAGUGAAGCAUGUUAUUUAAUACGAUGAUCCGCGUACAACCUUACCACUUCUUGAAUGUCCUUUUCUGUAAAAAGAAAAGGCCUAUUUAAUUAAAAAACUUUAAAACAUUAAUUAAAUUUGGAUAAAUACAACAGGCGUUGCAUGGCUGUCUUCAGUUCGUGUCGUGAGAUGUCAGGUUCAUUCCGGUCAACGAAUGAAACCCUUCUUUCUUAAUUUUGCUUUUUUUUUAUUUAUUUAAAUUAAAUUUAUUAAGAUGACCCUUGGAAAACGAGGAUAUAAUGGGGAUUAAGACAAGUCGUCAUGGCCUUUAUGAAGUGGGCUAUAGACGUGCCACAAAAGCUUUUACAAUGGGAUGCUAAGACGUGAGUCAGCGCUAAACCUUAAAAAAAGCUAUGUUCGGAUUGUAGUCUGCAACUCGACUACAUGAAGCAGGAAUUGCUAGUAAUCGUAAAUCAGGACGUUACGGUGAAGUAUUAAAUCUGUGAUGUACUAACUACUCGUCAAGCGCGGAAAGGUGCGUGGCCCCGAAGAGGUUAUCCUUAAAAGGGAUGGUUUCGACUGGUCGGCGCUGAUUCGUGUUAAGUCGAAAUAAGGUAGGUGUAGGGGAACCUGUACCUG